GAUGAACGCUAGCGGCAGGCCUAACACAUGCAAGUCGAGGGGUAAUUUUCCCGAGCAAUCGGGAAGAACGACCGGCGCACGGGUGAGUAACGCGUAUGCAACCUACCUUUAACUGGGGAAUAGCCCGAAGAAAUUCGGAUUAAUACCCCAUAAUAUUUUGGAAUCACAUGGUUUCAUAAUUAAAGUUCCAACGGUUAGAGAUGGGCAUGCGUGACAUUAGUUAGUUGGUGAGGUAACGGCUCACCAAGACGAUGAUGUCUAGGGGGUCUGAGAGGAUGGUCCCCCACACUGGUACUGAGACACGGACCAGACUCCUACGGGAGGCAGCAGUGAGGAAUAUUGGGCAAUGGACGCAAGUCUGACCCAGCCAUGUCGCGUGCAGGAUGACAGUCUUAUGGGUUGUAAACUGCUUUUAUACAGGAAGAAACCCCCCGACGUGUCGGGGGCUGACGGUACUGUAUGAAUAAGCAUCGGCUAACUCCGUGCCAGCAGCCGCGGUAAUACGGAGGAUGCAAGCGUUAUCCGGAUUUAUUGGGUUUAAAGGGUGCGUAGGCGGGAGAUUAAGUCAGUGGUGAAAUCCUGCAGCUUAACUGCAGAACUGCCAUUGAUACUGGUUUCCUUGAGUACAGUUGAGGUGGGCGGAAUGUGUAGUGUAGCGGUGAAAUGCUUAGAUAUUACACAGAACACCAAUUGCGUAGGCAGCUCACUAAACUGUUACUGACGCUGAGGCACGAAAGCGUGGGGAGCAAACAGGAUUAGAUACCCUGGUAGUCCACGCUGUAAACGAUGAUCACUCGUUGUUGGCGAUAUACAGUCAGCGACUAAGCGAAAGCAUUAAGUGAUCCACCUGGGGAGUACGAUCGCAAGAUUGAAACUCAAAGGAAUUGACGGGGGCCCGCACAAGCGGAGGAACAUGUGGUUUAAUUCGAUGAUACGCGAGGAACCUUACCUGGGCUUAAAUGCAGUAUGACUUCCGCCGAAAGGUGGAUUCCCUUCGGGGCAAAUUGCAAGGUGCUGCAUGGUUGUCGUCAGCUCGUGCCGUGAGGUGUCGGGUUAAGUCCCAUAACGAGCGCAACCCCUAUCGUUAGUUGCCAGCGAGUAAUGUCGGGGACUCUAGCGAAACUGCCGGUGUAAACCGUGAGGAAGGUGGGGAUGACGUCAAAUCAGCACGGCCCUUAUGUCCAGGGCUACACACGUGUUACAAUGGCCGGUACAAAGGGUAGCUACCUGGUGACAGGAUGCUAAUCUCUAAAGCUGGUCUCAGUUCGGAUCGAAGUCUGCAAUUCGACUUCGUGAAGGUGGAUUCGCUAGUAAUCGCGCAUCAGCAACGGCGCGGUGAAUACGUUCCCGGGCCUUGUACACACCGCCCGUCACACCACGAAAGUUGGCGAUACCUGAAGUUACUGGGCCAACCCGACACUCAACUAAGUAUACUAAGUCCCAUUUGGCUAAGUAUAUUUAGUUGAGUGCCGGGAGGCAGGUACCGAAGGUAUGGCUGGCGAUUGGGGUG
This 1510-nucleotide ribosomal RNA is filed under the name uncultured bacterium. RNAcentral describes it as "bacterial SSU rRNA". It matches the Rfam family "Bacterial small subunit ribosomal RNA". The record is from RNAcentral.